This 306-nucleotide unclassified non-coding RNA is filed under the name uncultured fungus. RNAcentral describes it as "partial contains small subunit ribosomal RNA, internal transcribed spacer 1, and 5.8S ribosomal RNA". The stretch from base 1 to 73 matches the Rfam family "Eukaryotic small subunit ribosomal RNA", at positions 1759 to 1831 of the family's 1831-position model. The record is from RNAcentral. Lineage: Eukaryota; Fungi.
UCAAACUUGGUCAUUUAGAGGAAGUAAAAGUCGUAACAAGGUUUCCGUAGGUGAACCUGCGGAAGGAUCAUUAUUGAAUCUGGAGGCCUGGGUUGUAGCUGGUCCUCUCGGGGGCAAGUGCUCGCCUGGAGCCCUUUCCAACACACCCUGUGCACCAACGUGUGGACCUUGGCGGCUACUGCCGUCAUGGAACAUGCUUUUUCAUAAGCUCCCUAGUAUGUUCUAGAAUGAAUGACAGCGUUAAACGCAUCUGACAUAACUUUCAACAACGGAUCUCUUGGCUCUCGCAUCGAUGAAGAACGCAGC